UACGUAUGAGGCAAGCGUUGUUCGGAAUUAUUGGGCAUAAAGGGCAUCUAGGCGGGAAGUUAAGUUAGAUGUGAAAUUCAUAGGCUCAACCUAUGACCUGCAUUUAAAACUGACUUUCUUGAGUUCGGAAGGGGAGAGCGGAAUUCCUGGUGUAGCGGUGAAAUGCGUAGAUAUCAGGAAGAACACCAGUGGCGAAAGCGGCUCUCUGGUCUAGAACUGACGCUGAAGUGCGAAAGCGUGGGUAGCGAACGGG
This 253-nucleotide ribosomal RNA is filed under the name uncultured bacterium. Its description in RNAcentral is "partial 16S ribosomal RNA". It matches the Rfam family "Bacterial small subunit ribosomal RNA", at positions 524 to 776 of the family's 1533-position model. The record is from RNAcentral.